UACGUAGGGUGCAGGCGUUAAUCGGAAUUACUGGGCGUAAAGCGUGCGCAGGCGGUUUCUUAAGUCAGAUGUGAAAGCCCCGGGCUUAACCUGGGAACUGCGUUUGAAACUGGGAGACUUGAGUGUGGCAGAGGGGGGUGGAAUUCCACGUGUAGCAGUGAAAUGCGUAGAGAUGUGGAGGAACACCAGUGGCGAAGGCGACUCUCUGGUCUGUAACUGACGCUGAGGCGCGAAAGCGUGGGGAGCAAACAGG
RNAcentral lists this ribosomal RNA (253 nucleotides) under uncultured bacterium. RNAcentral describes it as "partial 16S ribosomal RNA". It matches the Rfam family "Bacterial small subunit ribosomal RNA", at positions 524 to 776 of the family's 1533-position model. The record is from RNAcentral.